Molecule: ribosomal RNA, 450 nt
Filed under: uncultured bacterium
Lineage: Bacteria
Description: partial 16S ribosomal RNA
Rfam family: Bacterial small subunit ribosomal RNA
Source: RNAcentral
GUUAGGAAUAUUGGACAAUGGGCGCAAGCCUGAUCCAGCCAUGCCGCGUGAGUGAUGAAGGCCUUCGGGUUGUAAAGCCCUUUUGUUGGGAAAGAAAUCCUGUCGGUUAAUACCUGGCGGGGAUGACGGUACCCAAAGAAUAAGCACCGGCUAACUUCGUGCCAGCAGCCGCGGUAAUACGAAGGGUGCAAGCGUUACUCGGAAUUACUGGGCGUAAAGCGUGCGUAGGUGGUGUUUUAAGUCCGUUGUGAAAGCCCUGGGCUCAACCUGGGAAUUGCAGUGGAUACUGGAUCACUAGAGUGUGGUAGAGGGAUGCGGAAUUUCUGGUGUAGCAGUGAAAUGCGUAGAGAUCAGAAGGAACAUCCGUGGCGAAGGCGGCAUCCUGGGCCAACACUGACACUGAGGCACGAAAGCGUGGGGAGCAAACAGGAUUAGAUACCCCUGUAGUCC